ACGAACGCUGGCGGCGUGCUUAACACAUGCCAGUCGAACGCUGAAGCUUGGUGCUUGCACUGGGUGGAUGAGUGGCGAACGGGUGAGUAAUACGUGAGUAACCUGCCCUUGACUCUGGGAUAAGCCUGGGAAACUGGGUCUAAUACUGGAUACGACAUGUCACCGCAUGGUGGUGUGUGGUAAGGGUUUUAGUGGGAUUGGAUGGGCUCAAGGCCUAUCAGCUUGUUGGGGGGGUAAUGGCUCACCAAGGCGACGACGGGUAGCCGGCCUGGGAGGGUGACCGGCGACACUGCGACUGAGACACGGCCCAGACUCCUACGGGAGGCAGCAGUGGGGAAUAUUGCACAAUGGGCGGAAGCCUGAUGCAGCGACGCCGCGUGAGUGAUGACGGCCUUCGGGUUAAAAACCUCUUUCAGCACGGAAGAAGCGAAAGUGACGGUACGUGCAGAAGAAGCGCCGGCUAACUACGUG
RNAcentral lists this ribosomal RNA (471 nucleotides) under uncultured bacterium. Its description in RNAcentral is "partial 16S ribosomal RNA". It matches the Rfam family "Bacterial small subunit ribosomal RNA", at positions 29 to 507 of the family's 1533-position model. The record is from RNAcentral.